UUUCCUCUCUCACAAACCCUAGCAGAAGCCACCUUCUCUCCGCCACCGCGCCGCGGUUCACGCCGUUUACAGGUAACUCUCGCCGCCUACUUCGUUCUUAAGUUCCACUCGUCGUAGCUCUGCCCUCGUCGACUCGUUGGAGGCGUUUAUUACAAAUUGCGAGCGUGGCUCAAAACCCGUCGCCAACGCUGCCGUGGUGCGGUCGUUUCCGGGUAUUUUUAGUCCGGUUUCACGUCGGAGAGGCCUUUAAUGGGCCGGGUUGCGACUGAAUGUGGUCGUUUGGCCGCGGGAAACCCUCUGGAACGGAUCUGGAAGCUGGUGCCGUUUACUGUCAACCACCGUGAGCGCCUUCGCAGGUCGUUUAAGGCCACGACAAGGAUGGCUGUUUCAUUCCCGACCGAUGGGGACUGCUGCCGGUGAAGUUCAUCGCCGGCAGUCCCAUUUUCUGAUCUGGACAUUCUGAACCGGGAACGCAAAUACCCACUGCUCGAGCUGACCGCGGUAGAGGUUAUUAUUGACGUUAGCUUCUGUCGAGCCAACAAUAGUAGCGGUCGUGCUAAUAUGACGUUUUCGCAGAACUGUUAAAGGUCAAUCUAGGCUCAGCGGCGGCUUUCCUAUAUAUGUUUUCAGCCAAAAAUCCGACACCGGGUUUCUCAAUUGAAAUAAUCGAAACAUUUUCUGCUGUCUGUCUCUUAAUUGCGAUUGUCACUACCAUCAUAUUGGUUAUAUUGCUGCUGCUCAAGUUCGGUACUGUGAUCGGUCACACAACUGAACGAGACCCUUCAUAUACCAGAAUGGGAGGAUCCAGCAGUGGUCGCGCAACUGUACGAGGGACCAGACAUUUGCUUUAUACCCUGAACUUCUGCAUAUGAGCUUUUUCCAAUUUUUUUCCCUGUCCAGUGUUCCUUUAGUAGAUGAAUUCUGGGUUCUUCUUGGUUACUGUGUAUUCACAGCGUCAUUUUACUUGCACUUCGCCAUAUCAGUCACUCGAGAAAUUACAACAUCCCUGGGAAUUUAUUGCUUCAGGGUAACUAGGAAAGAGGGUUGAACUGCUCAACGGCCAUUAAGGACCUUUCGUACUGCUUUUGUUUGGGAUCUUGGAGGAAUCAAGACAUUCAUGUUUGUUUAAGUGUAAUAGAAUGUAUUGGACAAGGAUGAACUAAUGAUGAAAAUUUGAUGAAGCAUCUCAAACUUGAACCUAACAAACAUUGCUUGUUGCGAUGCUUUUCUUUUCUCUUAAACUAAUAAAAAACAGGAGUAUAAUAUUUUCUUGUGG
Long non-coding RNA from Hibiscus syriacus, 1276 nucleotides. RefSeq lists it as uncharacterized. The transcript has 5 exons. Lineage: Eukaryota; Viridiplantae; Streptophyta; Magnoliopsida; Malvales; Malvaceae. The record is from RefSeq and is a predicted model, not a curated record.